This 245-nucleotide ribosomal RNA is filed under the name uncultured Lachnospiraceae bacterium. RNAcentral's name for it is "partial 16S ribosomal RNA". It matches the Rfam family "Bacterial small subunit ribosomal RNA", at positions 524 to 768 of the family's 1533-position model. Lineage: Bacteria; Bacillati; Bacillota; Clostridia; Lachnospirales; Lachnospiraceae. The record is from RNAcentral.
UACGUAGGGGGCAAGCGUUAUCCGGAUUUACUGGGUGUAAAGGGAGCGCAGACGGCGAUGCAAGUCUGAUGUGAAAUGCGGGGGCUCAACCCCCGAACUGCAUUGGAAACUGUAUUGCUAGAGUGCCGGAGGGGUAAGCGGAAUUCCUAGUGUAGCGGUGAAAUGCGUAGAUAUUAGGAGGAACACCAGUGGCGAAGGCGGCUUACUGGACGGUAACUGACGUUGAGGCUCGAAAGCGUGGGGAG